GUAACAGAUGUUGUUUCUGUUGGAGAACCUGUUGUUGUGGUAGCCCCUGUGUUGAUGGGUGUAGUUGACAUUGAUGUGAGAUCAGGUGAUGUUGUUGUUUGAACAGCUGGUGUUGUGGGGGUUAAUGAAAUUGUUGUGACAGCUUCUAUUGGUGUUGUGGGACCAGAUGUGGUAGAUAUUUUAGCAGGAGUGGUUGUGGUGGCAGCAACUGUUGUUGUUGCUCCAGACUCUAUUAUUGUGGGAGGAGAAGAAAUUGUUGUGACAUCAAGUGAUGUUGUUGUUGCAACAGAUGUUGUUGUGGGAUUUGCUGAAAUUGUUGUGACAGAAGCUGAUGUGAUUAUGGGACCAGAUGUGGUAGUCAUAUCAGCAGGUGUGGUUGCUGUUUCUGUAAAAACUGUUGUUCCCAACGUUGUUGUUGUUGGUAGAGCUGUUGUGGUCAUUGAGGGAACAGAUGUGUUUUCUGUUGGAGAACCUGUUGUUGUGGUAGCCCCUGUGUUGAUGGGUGUAGUUGACAUUGAUGUGAGAUCAGGUGAUGUUGUUGUUUGAACAGCUGGUGUUGUGGGGGUUAAUGAAAUUGUUGUGACAGCUUGUGUUUGUGUUGUGGGACCAGAUAUGGUAGAUAUUUUAGCAGGAGUGGUUGUUGUGGCAGUAACUGUUGUUUUUACUCCAGACUCUGUUGUUGUGGGAGUAGAAGAAAUUGUUGUGACAUCAAGUGAUGUUGUUGUUGCAACAGAUGUUGUUGUGGGAUUUUCUGAAAUUGUUGUGACAGAAGCUGAUGUGGUUAUGGGACCAGAUGUGGUAGUCAUUUCAGCAGGUGUGGUUGCUGUUUCUGUAAAACCUGUUGUUCCAAACGCUGUUGUUGUUGGUAGAGCUGUUGUGGUCAUUGAGGUAACAGAUGUUGUUUCUGUUGGAGAACCUGUUGUUGUGGUAGCCCCUGUGUUGAUGGGUGUAGUUGACAUUGAUGUGAGAUCAGGUGAUGUUGUUGUUUGAACAGCUAGUGUUGUGGGGGUUAAUGAAAUUGUUGUGACAGCUUCUGUUGGUGUUGUGGGCCCAGAUGUGGUAGAUAUUUUAGCAGGAGUGGUUGUGGUGGCAGCAACUGUUGUUGUUGCUCCAGACUCUGUUGUUGUGGGAGUAGAAGAAAUUGUUGUGACAUCAAGUGAUGUUGUUGUUGCAACAGAUGUUGUUGUGGGAUUUUCUGAAAUUGUUGUGACAGAAGCUGAUGUGGUUAUGGGACCAGAUGUGGUAGUCAUAUCAGCAGGUGUGGAUGCUGUUUCUGUAAAACCUGUUGUUCCAAACGCUGUUGUUCUUGGUAGAGCUGUUGUGGUCAUUGAGUGAACAGAUGUGGUUUCUGCUGGUGAACCUGUUGUUGUUGUAGCCCCUGUGUUGAUGGGUGUAGUUGACAUUGAUGUGAGAUCAGGUGAUGUUGUUGUUUGAACAGCUGGUGUUGUGGGGGUUAAUGAAAUUGUUGUGACAGC
Long non-coding RNA from Esox lucius (northern pike), 1475 nucleotides. The record is from Ensembl. Lineage: Eukaryota; Metazoa; Chordata; Actinopteri; Esociformes; Esocidae.